CCUACGGGUGGCAGCAGUGGGGAAUAUUGGACAAUGGGCGAAAGCCUGAUCCAGCCAUGCCGCGUGUGUGAAGAAGGCCUUCGGGUUGUAAAGCACUUUCAGUGGGGAAGAAAGCCUUGGGGCUAAUACCCUCGAGGAAGGACAUCACCCACAGAAGAAGCACCGGCUAACUCCGUGCCAGCAGCCGCGGUAAUACGGAGGGGUGCGAGCGUUAAUCGGAAUUACUGGGCGUAAAGCGCGCGUAGGCGGUCUGCUAAGCCGGUUGUGAAAGCCCCGGGCUCAACCUGGGAACGGCAUCCGGAACUGUCAGGCUAGAGUGCAGGAGAGGAAGGUAGAAUUCCCGGUGUAGCGGUGAAAUGCGUAGAGAUCGGGAGGAAUACCAGUGGCGAAGGCGGCCUUCUGGACUGACACUGACGCUGAGGUGCGAAAGCGUGGGUAGCAAACAGGAUUAGAUACCCGAGUAGUC
This 466-nucleotide ribosomal RNA is filed under the name Vreelandella stevensii. RNAcentral's name for it is "partial 16S ribosomal RNA". It matches the Rfam family "Bacterial small subunit ribosomal RNA", at positions 338 to 795 of the family's 1533-position model. The record is from RNAcentral. Lineage: Bacteria; Pseudomonadati; Pseudomonadota; Gammaproteobacteria; Oceanospirillales; Halomonadaceae.